GUUAAUUCAUUUUCAUCAAAGGUAGAACAAACAGAAAAAAUUUCAUCGAUUAUAAAAUUAAUUUUAUUGAUUGAUGCAGUUACAUGAAUUUAUUGAUGUAUUUUUUUUUUUUAGAUUUAGACAUGCAAUCGUCUAAUACAACUAGAUAUUGAUUGUUGGAGGACCUGGCGGAACAUGUCUACAUCUUCCCUCUGGGGGACAUCCCGGUUUGUACGGAUUUACUGGUUCCGGGGGUGGACACGUGCCAGGACUACAGCCAGGGGGACGAUCGCCACCACGUAUUGGUGGAUAUCCAAUAAAUUUUCCAGCUGCUGGGUUGCUGAUCAUAAACACACAUGCUGCUAUGAGUAUUGCAACGACCAUAACCCUAUUUGUUCCUUUUAGAUUGCUCAUGAUUUGUGUCAAAAUUAAAUGUUUACAGAAUAGCUUAUUAAGUGUUGUGCUAGUUGGUAUGAAGAGGGUUUUUAUAGUGUGUAUUUUUUUUGAAAAACAUAUCUAUCUAUAUAUGUUACUAUUUAAGAAUUUGCUUAUUUGUCAUUUUUUUCAUGAUUUUUAGAUAAAUCAUUAAUUUAAUUAUAUAUUUUUAUUUUGAUAUCUAUAUAUAUUUAUCAUGAUAUCUAAGAUAAUUAAUAAACAUUAACAUAUUCUAACAGUAUAUAUACUAUUAUUUAUAAAUAUAUAUAUACUUGUCAUCUUUUCUAUGAUCUUAGGAUAAAUCACUAAUUUAAUUAAUUUUUUUUUUGAUAUCUAUAUAUAUAUAUAUUUAUCAUAAUAUUUAAGAUAAUUAAUAAACAUUAACAUAUUCUAACAAUAUAUAUACUAUUAUUUAUAUAUAUAUAUAUAUUUAAUAUACUUAUCAUGAUAUUAAAUAAAAUUAAUUUAUAAAUAGAUAUUAACAAUAUCUACCUAUAAUAUCAUCUUUACUUAUAUCUUAUAUUUAGUUUAAAAUUUUAAUUACUAAUAUUACUAAUAUUAUAGCCAAUUUCUAUGAUUUUUAUCAAAAAUAUUGAUCAAAUACAAAUUAUUUGUUUAUUCAGUUUGAUCGCUUAAUAAACCAAUUAAACCUUUAUAUAGUAUAUAAGUAUACUAAUAUAUCUCAAUUAAUCGGUUUUAUUGGUUUAUUCGGUUUGACCGCUUAAUAUAUUGAACCAUAUUCAUAUACUACAGUUUCUUAAAAAUAACAUUCAUUCGGUUUAUUCGGAUCUGAACGUCAAAACGUUACUUUUGUAUAUAAUUAAGGAGUUAUGUAAUGGAAAAUUUACACAUUUUGAAAAAAAAAACAAGAUGACAAAUAAAGAGUGGUAUGAGUAAUUAUGAUUUAUCGUAUAGUGUUGUACUUGCCGUUUGUUACAUUGCCAAUUGUUAGUUCUUUUUACUCUUAUAAAUGUGUAAAUUUUCCAUUACAUAAGUCCUUAAUUAUAUACAAAAGUACUCUUGUUGGUUAGUCCGUCCGGACUUACGACUAUUGGAUUUAAUUAAGACCAGUAUUAUGAAAUAUCGCAUUCAUUUGAUUCAACAUUAGAAGAUGUUGUUAGAGCGCAAAUUAUAAAACCGUGGACACCACUUGUAUUUUUCUUUCUUCAAAUCAAAUUCAGUCAUCUAAAAUAGUUCAGCGAACGGAGAUCAAGAACCAGAUCCUAGAGCUCUAACUAAAAACUUCAAACUAAAGCUUUAUAAUCUAGACAAAGUACUUAUCUUGACAAUCUGGGUAAAAAAUAUCACUGAGUUGUUUUUCUUACUUCUUCAGACGUUACAUGAAACUAGCUUUUACCAUUAAAAAUGGAUUAAUUGACUACUUUAUUUUGUUCUUGUUAAAAAAAAUUCAAGAGUUCAGGUUAGGAUGGGAAGAUGUUGCGGCGUCAAGGCGAUCAAAGCAAGGCACUCACUAUCCACAUUAUCCAAUAGCUCAUGCAUUUAAUACCUACAGAAGUCACACGGAUGAAACACCGAACAUGAUUUCUCACUGGGGUCCAGCCCACACGAGGGUGCAUCUCUAUCUCUUUUUUUUUUAUCUAGGGUUGAUGUUUUCGGCCAACGUGGACCCGUUUAUUUCCUCGAACACACACCUCUACUCUACAAGAAUAUAUAAACAGUAAGGAUCAACUAGCCAAAUGAAAUUUGGCUUAGCAAUUGACAAAUUAAAACACGGGUAUGGAGUUUAAUUUUUGGAAUGUUUUCCGGUGUUUUCGAGUUAUUUAAAGUAUUUUGUAAUUUAUGGCUUCUUGUCACUGAAAUACUAUUGUGCUAGUUAUGCAAUAAUAUUAGCUUAAUUUAAAUUAACAUGGUUUUCAGUAUACCAUAUAUAUAGGCAUCAGUUUUCUCACAGAAAAAUGCUUAUCGAACGUUUUAUUUAUCUGGGUCUUGACUGAUAAUUAGUGGAAUAAAAAAGUGGAAAUGAAAAUGUGAAAAUGAAAAUGUGAAAAUGAAAAGAAAGAAAACUGUCAAAUGAAACGUAACAUUUUCAUCUAACAAAAAUUGAAGGAACAUUUACCUCUAUUUUUUCACUUUGUUAUAGUAAAUGAGCUGAAAUGUUUCCACUUGAUUGAAUAAAAUCGGAAGAAACAGGCUGAAGUAAAAUUUCACUUACUUUACUUUACACUAAUGAUGUCAUACAGCCAGAAUAAAUGUUUUCUUACAUAUUCCAGAAGAAACAGGUUUUCUUACAUAUUCCAUUAUUUAUUAAUUAGUAGAGUGUAAUGUAACUAAAUCAAGUAACAUAAGUUAAUAAAAAGACCAUUACGUAUAACGAGUCACUAUGUGGAUUCAAAUAUUUCUAUGUUAUUAACAAAAUAAAUGUCAAUUCUAAAAUUAUUUAUAAACAAGCUUAAAAACCAGAAAAUUUGAACGAUACAAAUUAUUGAAGUAUUACGUGUUGUAUGAAUUUCAUCUAUUUAUUUUUCAUUUUUAAUAUUUAUAAUAUUCAUAAGAAAUGGUACGUUGGGAGUAUUUUUUUUGUUUAAUAAAUUUUACUUAUUGCAUAUAUUUAUAUAACCACGUAUAUAUGUAUAUAGUACUUUCCCUCUAGAUCAAGAUGAAGUCAUUGUCAAAUUGACUUUCAAUUUUUAGGUCAGAUUCUUCAAUUGUAAUCAUGCAUGGGCAUGAUGAUGUUUAGCAAUUAACGAUGUUGAUGAUCAUUAUAUGCUUUUAUAAUUUGAAUGAGAAAUUGUUUUAUAAUCAAGCUAAUAUUAUUGUGCCCCUUCUUGAUUGUACUAAUAACCAUAUUUUAACCACCCCCUCCCAAAAAAAAAAAUUGACGACAUGGGUGUAUGACAUGUUUUCGUCAUAUCACAUGGUUGGCCAUUUAAUAUAUAUAUAGCAAAAAUAAACUUGGAAUUUCUAUGUGAUUUUGAAGGCUUUUUUCCUGUUUUCGUAAUCGGGUGUGGUAAAACACGAGUACAUUUUUUGUGUUAACUUAUGUCGAGAGAUUUAAACGUGAUGUGCACAUUUCAAAACCGUUUUAAUCUAAACACUGUAAAGAAACCAUAUAUAAUACCACUAUCACACUACGGUAUUUAAAUGUUUGCGACAAAAUAACGACUGAUGUCUGAUGAGAAACUGAAGUUUUCUUAUCGACUAAUCCCCGAAACAGUGAAGUUUAAAGAGUUUAUAUAUGUUUCCCUAUAAGAUUGUACAAUGUUGUAGAAAUAAAGUGUCUAGCUUUCGUUCUCUCAACCAAUUAAUCGGUUCCAUAGACAUUUCGCCUAGAAACAGAGGUUCCUAAUAUCAUUUGCCGUCAUUUUCUACGUGUUUGUUCUGUAUUUUCAUAAAUGGUCAACUGUCUAGCCUAUUGUACUGUGUAGUUACUCAUGUUUAAUAUAGCACUAGAUUUAUCCCAACAUUAUAUCAUAUCCUAAGCAUCGAUCAGAAGGGAAUGUUUGCUUAUUACAUACAUAGUGCAAGUAAUCUGAAACGGGUAAAUGAAUAUUCACAUUUACAUGAAUAAAUAUACCUUAAUCUCUAGUUUUCCUUUUGACUUCACAGUAGUUAACAAACAAGACAGAAGCACAUGGAGGAACCAUACUACGAAAACGCUAUGGUAGACCAAGACUUUAGUUUAAUAAAUUCCUUAAAUUUUAUUUAUUUCAAUUAUUUUUGUCGGCAUUAUUAUAUCAAAAUUAUUAAUUUACAUUAAAAUAAGGCAAGCAUAUCACUUGUGAAUGGCGGGCCCCAUAAGAAAGACAACGAAUCCAUGGAAUCAAAACACAUGUUUGAAGCUGACAACUUUCCCAUCUAUGGGUCCCAUUAUUACGUGUUGUAUGAAUUUCAUCUAUUUAUUUUUCAUUUUUAAUAUUUAUAAUAUUCAUAAGAAAUGGUACGUUGGGAGUAUUUUUUUUGUUUAAUAAAUUUUACUUAUUGCAUAUAUUUAUAUAACCACGUAUAUAUGUAUAUAGUACUUUCCCUCUAGAUCAAGAUGAAGUCAUUGUCAAAUUGACUUUCAAUUUUUAGGUCAGAUUCUUCAAUUGUAAUCAUGCAUGGGCAUGAUGAUGUUUAGCAAUUAACGAUGUUGAUGAUCAUUAUAUGCUUUUAUAAUUUGAAUGAGAAAUUGUUUUAUAAUCAAGCUAAUAUUAUUGUGCCCCUUCUUGAUUGUACUAAUAACCAUAUUUUAACCACCCCCUCCCAAAAAAAAAAAUUGACGACAUGGGUGUAUGACAUGUUUUCGUCAUAUCACAUGGUUGGCCAUUUAAUAUAUAUAUAGCAAAAAUAAACUUGGAAUUUCUAUGUGAUUUUGAAGGCUUUUUUCCUGUUUUCGUAAUCGGGUGUGGUAAAACACGAGUACAUUUUUUGUGUUAACUUAUGUCGAGAGAUUUAAACGUGAUGUGCACAUUUCAAAACCGUUUUAAUCUAAACACUGUAAAGAAACCAUAUAUAAUACCACUAUCACACUACGGUAUUUAAAUGUUUGCGACAAAAUAACGACUGAUGUCUGAUGAGAAACUGAAGUUUUCUUAUCGACUAAUCCCCGAAACAGUGAAGUUUAAAGAGUUUAUAUAUGUUUCCCUAUAAGAUUGUACAAUGUUGUAGAAAUAAAGUGUCUAGCUUUCGUUCUCUCAACCAAUUAAUCGGUUCCAUAGACAUUUCGCCUAGAAACAGAGGUUCCUAAUAUCAUUUGCCGUCAUUUUCUACGUGUUUGUUCUGUAUUUUCAUAAAUGGUCAACUGUCUAGCCUAUUGUACUGUGUAGUUACUCAUGUUUAAUAUAGCACUAGAUUUAUCCCAACAUUAUAUCAUAUCCUAAGCAUCGAUCAGAAGGGAAUGUUUGCUUAUUACAUACAUAGUGCAAGUAAUCUGAAACGGGUAAAUGAAUAUUCACAUUUACAUGAAUAAAUAUACCUUAAUCUCUAGUUUUCCUUUUGACUUCACAGUAGUUAACAAACAAGACAGAAGCACAUGGAGGAACCAUACUACGAAAACGCUAUGGUAGACCAAGACUUUAGUUUAAUAAAUUCCUUAAAUUUUAUUUAUUUCAAUUAUUUUUGUCGGCAUUAUUAUAUCAAAAUUAUUAAUUUACAUUAAAAUAAGGCAAGCAUAUCACUUGUGAAUGGCGGGCCCCAUAAGAAAGACAACGAAUCCAUGGAAUCAAAACACAUGUUUGAAGCUGACAACUUUCCCAUCUAUGGGUCCCAUACUGUCUUAGCUGUCAUUUUAUUCUAAUUUUAAUUUAAAUAGAUAUAAAAAAUCCGACAAAACAACACUCUUUUGUUAAUAUUAUUGGUUUAUCUUUUCUUCUGUAGUUGACAAAAAAAAAUCUUUUCUUCUGUAUUGUUUCAAUAAGUUUGAUUGCAUUUUAUAAACUAAAUGUAUAAUUUAAAACGGAUUAGUUAAAGCACUAAAUGAGAGAAAUACAAAAUAAAAUAAAAACCUAAAAAUAUGGAACAGAAAGAAGAAAAACUGCACCAACUUGGCCUUUGUCCACUGGCUUGGAUUAUUCCGGUAAUGUGACGCCAUUCAUGACAUCAUUAUCUCUCGACAACACUCUUUACGGUCCAACCAAUCCCAGCAUUCACGUGGCAGCAUCUCACCCGUUCAAACAAUAAUCCACAACAAUGAAUUCGAUUAUAUUUUAUACCCACACGAUCCAAUAUUUAGCCCUUUGUUUCAAACACAUCUCACAUCCUUCUGUCUCUCUCUCCUCAAACGUUUUAGUAUUUGAAAGAAUAAAUCAAAAGAACCAAAAAAACCUAGAAACAAGACAAUCUUUGUUCUCAUCUCGUUUUCUGCUCACCUAAUUUAUUACUUAUUGCUAAUCAGUAUCAAGCAAGAUGAUCAAUUUUGAGGCGACGGAGCUGAGGUUAGGGCUGCCGGGUGGCAAUCACGGAGGAGACAUGGCCAUGAAAAAUAAUGGGAAACGAGGAUUUUCUGAGACCGUUGAUCUCAAACUGAAUCUUUCAUCCACGGCUUUGGAUUCGGUUUCCGGAGUUGAUUUAGAGAAUAUGAAGGAGAAGGUCGUAAAACCACCAGCCAAGUACGAAACUAAACUUUUAUCUAUAUUCCUAUUAAUGUGUAUUCACGAUCCUCUAAAGUAGAAGUAGUGAUAUAUAUGAAUGUAUUGAAAUAAUUAGAUUAUCUGUGAACAGAUUAGGAAAUAGAUAACACGAGCCGGUUAUGGGUUAUCUGAGAUAGGCUUUAACACGCUGAAUGAUUACGCUAAUUAGAGCAGCUAUGCAAAUUAUUCUCUAGAGAUCUGUCAUUUUUUUAGUUUUGCUCCAUGUUUUCAACAGUUUUCACAUAAUAUUAUUUAAAUGUGUGAUUAAUAAUAGCCAAUAAUAAAGCUAGGUUGAUGAGUGUAAUGUUUGAAGGUUUGGUCGGGAAGAAUGAAGAAAAAUACAAAACAUAAGGAAUCUUUACUUUAUCUACGUAAACUAAAUUAAUAUUUGGACAACUACAUCCACCUAACAUCCGACACGUGUUAAGCAACUAGAUGAUUUUACAUACUUUUUAUUAAAUACGCUAAUUAAUUUAUUUUUUUGUUCAAAAAUACGCUAAUUAAUAUAAUUGAAAUUAUCAACUAAAAAUAAUUACGGAAUUUCAGGGCACAAGUUGUGGGAUGGCCACCGGUACGAUCUUUCCGGAAGAACGUCAUGUCAGGCCAAAAGCCAACCGCUGGAGAUGCCACCGAAGGAACGGAAAAGACUUCCAGCAGCAACGGAGCCACCUCCUCUGCCGCAGCUUACGUGAAGGUUAGCAUGGACGGCGCACCGUACCUAAGAAAAAUUGAUUUGAAACUUUACAAAACAUAUCAAGACCUCUCCGACGCCUUAAGCAAAAUGUUCAGCUCUUUUACCCUAGGUAAAUAUAAAAGACGACAAUAUCUAUAUUAAAAACUUAAACUCGUUAUUUAAUUUUUUUUAUAAAAAAUUCAGGCAACUAUGGACCACAAGGAAUGAAAGAUUUUAUGAACGAGAGUAGGUUGAUCGAUCUUUUGAACGGAUCAGAUUACGUUCCAACUUAUGAAGAUAAAGAUGGAGACUGGAUGCUUGUAGGAGACGUACCGUGGGGGUGAGUGUUAUUAUAUAUAAGCUAAUAAGCAUAUAUUAUAUGUUUACAUAAUUUAGUAUUUUUUUGUUGCAACUAAACACAUAUAUUUGCUUACGUUUCAUUUGUAUUAUUUUUUUAGGAUGUUUGUUGAUUCAUGCAAACGCAUAAGAAUAAUGAAGGGAUCAGAAGCAAUCGGACUUGGUUAGUAUUUUCAAUCCAGAAUUUACUGUGCACUCUUAAGAUUAUGUGCACUUUUGUUAAUACUAUUAUCAAUUGACUGCAGCUCCAAGGGCAUUAGAAAAGUGCAAGAACAGAAGCUGAGAGCUCUAAGAAAAUGACCGGUUCGAUCCGGUUGGAUAUCUCAAACCGAGAAAAGCCAAACCGGCUCGAAACUACUGUUACGAGCAGGGAGUUUGCGUAUAAUAUUCAUAAAUAAUAAUUAAUAUUGUGGUGUAUUACAUUUUAUAAACUCAAACCCUUUUUGUUAUAUGUAUAAUAUUAUAUACAUAUAUGAAUAUGUAUAUUAGGUGGCAUCUAUGUAUUUCCGCUUUGAACACCUUUUGUUUUUACGCAUUAUUGUAUUGUCUAUAUGGUUACGUAUCCGUAAGACAUCUUAAUGUGUUACUUUGACGUGACAAAGUAUCAUUCACGUUUAGUGUAUUACAUUACUAUUUUUCAUUUCAGCGGAUCGUUAAAUGACUUGAAAAUGUUAAUGGUCGUAAACCGAUAAAUUAAAUUUAAUAAUUUCUUCAAUCAUUUUCGUAUGUAUUUCCUAAUUCCUAUUGGUGUUCUUGAGUAUUACAUAUAUCAUUUUUGGUCUUUCUUCGUUGAACCACAUAUGAAAACUUUAAAUAGAUCAAGGUGAUGUGCGAUAGUGGACUGUGCAAGAGCAUGUGCAUAAUCCGAUAAUGUAGAGUUGUUGGGGGACAAUAUAUUAAUGAAUCACAAAUAAAAUUAACAAUGUCUUUAAUAUGCAUGCUCCAUUAUUGAUGAUGUACGCUGUCAUCCAUCGCUUAAAAAAACAAUAGGUGACAACGAUGAUAUUUGUUUUAUCUAUUUCUUGUUAAUUUAUCUUACUCUGGAUUAAUACACCAAGAACAAAUAGUAAUUUAGUUGUAAAACUAACCUAACCACAUAUAUAUAUCUGUACAAUUAGCCAACAAAAAAAGUUUUCCCGAAUAGCUGUUUCAAAAUAUAUAGCUGCUUACAGACAAAAGAAUAACUGAAAAUUAACAAAGAGAACUAGAUUCCGAUCCACCAUUUUUAAGGAUGGAUAUAUCUUUUGUUUUACACAAUUUAGAAAUUUAAUUUUUUAUAAUUUAAUUUAAUCAUAUUUGUAUUUUUUUUUGUAUAAUAUUUUUUUUAAAUAAUUAAUAAGAGAUUUUAAUAAUUAUAUUAAAAUAGUUGAAAUACACAUAUAUUGCUGUUUUAAUAGAAUAGAUUAGAUUACAUCCGCUAUAUAUUGCUGUUUUAAUAGAAUAGAUUAGGUUACAUCAAGCGGAGUAGAAAAAAAAAAUCAAGGUUUUGCUAUAAAGUUGAAUUGAGAUCAAUAUUGAUAGAUCGAGCAUAUUCCUAUAAUGAUACCAAGUACGAACCAAGGCAAGCACCGUUACAUAUGCUUCACUCAAGAAGAAAGGAGAUUAGGUUAAACUAUGAAUUGAAUAUGAAUAGAAAAGCAGAGAUAACUCUUUUAAUGUAUAUGCAUGCAAUAUCAUAGUUUAAACCAUUGCGGUAAACAUGGAUAAUUCUUUUAAUUUGGCAGAUCUGGAUUGUAGGUACAAAUAUUUUACUGAAUUUUUAUUUAAAAUGAUAAGGCUCUUGUAUACAUUUAUAGAGAGAGAGAGAUGCAUUAGACCACCAACAAAAAACUUAUCGAUCAUGAAGACCGGACUUAGCAUAACCAUCAUACUGUUAUCAUACACGGUGGCUGGUACGGACUUCCAAGCCGGAAGUCAGACUUGGGAAGCGGGGCUAGGGUCCAAGGAGCUAGUGCGUUGAACAUACGCGCCACCUACCAUUUCUAUAACCCUGAGCAGAAUAACUGGGAUCUGAUGGCCGUGACUCGUGAGUGCUUAUUGCUCCACGUGGGAUGCUGAUAAAACCAUACGCGUGGCAGUGUAGGUAUGGCUGGACCGCCUUCUGCACACCGGUUGGUCCUCAGGGUCAUGAUUCUUGCGGCAAUGCUUGAGGGUAUACGAUUAUGAUUUUGUAUAUAUUCUUUUUACUAGGGUAUGCGUUAUAUAUUUAUAACAAAAUGAUUUUAGUUAUAAAUAUCACAAACAAAACUGCAAUAGAUAAUUUAAUAUUGAAAUUUGCUUGUCAAUAUAUAUUUUUUCUUUUGAAAAUCAUAUGUAUUUUUAUAAAAAUUCAACCUGUCCCCCUUGUAUAUUAGAUAAUAUAUACGAAAGCUUAAUGACAUCAAUGUUAGUGUGUUAGUGAAUUUGAAGGUAUCAUAUAUAAGCCGGAGUUUUACUGUAACUAAUCAAAGCCGGAUUUUUUAAAGGUAAUCAUAGACUGGUUUUAAACAACCGGUGUGAUGAACUUUUGGUUCUAACUUGAUGGAGGUGAGGAACGUCAUGACGAAUGCAGUAGUAACGGUGAGAAUAGUGGACCUUUACAAAAGAUUGGAUAACGAUGGUGUUGGCUAUGAGCAAGGUCAACUCAUUGUUGACUAUGAAUUUGUUGACUGUGACGAUGAACUAAUUAAUCAGCCUGGUCAUUCUUAAAACAUCCUUGUUUCGGCCAUUGAUCGCGUUUGAUAUUAAUCGUUUUAGAGGUCAAGAUCUAUCUACACUAUAUAAUAAAAAGGCCUAUGUUGUGUUGUUCUUGGUGGUUUUCAAGAUAUUUGGCUCAAAAGAUCAAAAGAAUUUCUCACUUUUUUAUUACACAAUCCAAGACCAUAUCAAAAUCUUUUUGGUAUAUACAGUUUAUGAACAAGAAAGGCUUUAUUGUUUCUUAUCUUUUGUUCUCUUUACACAAAGUAUAUACACAGCCAUAAAGUGAUUCUCUUACUUCCCAUCCUUUAAAAGAAAAUCUUACAAUCACAUAUACACUUAUCAAUAUGUCUGCAUCACAGAACAUGCAACUGCUUGUGCCCAAUGUCUCAAUCUCUGCUUCACUUGUUGCGGAUUGUCCCCUAACAAAAAACAUCCAAAAAAACUAACACUCAGUUUCAUGACUUUCAUCAUAAAUGUUUAGCUCUCUUUUUUUACCUGGACACACGAUCUUUAAUGAAUCUGAAUCAGUUUUCUUCGGGCUACAUGGUAUAUUCAUCGAGAAAGCUGAUGCAGAUGCGCUGCUGCUACGGCUACUGCUAGGUGAAGCCAGAGGUGAGAGGUGACGAUUCACUGCAAAGUAAAGAUCAAGAGCUGGUAAUGUAUUGCAAAGCUUUUGUCCUGCUUCUUCAUUGAAACCAAAACCUAGCUCAAUGGAUCCUUUAAGCUCGUUUAAAUCCUCAUCGGUUAGUUUCUUCUGUUCACUAAGAUUGUCUGAAACGCGCAUCUUCUUCUCUUGAAUCAUUAUCAUCUGACGUUUUCUUCUUUCCCAAGCAAUGUCUCUUGGUGACUCACACAUAGAUAGUUGUUUUGUUAACCGUUGUUUUGGUUUCUGUGAGGCUAAAGGCGUUGUUGCCGCCGUUUUGACCUCUCGAAGCGCCGGUGUUGAGACCGAAAAUGUAAGGUUUUCUCUUAUUCUCACCAUCUUUUAUAUAUAUCACUUGACGUGUAUAUCAAGCUAAUAUGUUAUGAGAUGUGGCUUGUGAAUGCAAACUAGGGUUCUUCUUUCUUGGUUCUUGUGGGUUUUGUUUAAUGUAUGUUCUUUGUGAGAUGGCCGCGUUAGAACAUGUUACGCGGCCAACAAAGAGGUUAAAGUGGGUCGGGUUGAUCAGAUAUGUCUUGUUUAUUACGCUCUUUCUCUAGUUAGGUUUUGCCCAACCCGACCAGAGAUAAACUUUUAGGAGACUCGAGGUGCUUUAAUGGAGGAUAGUAAGUUAGUUUCCACCACUGAUAUAUGCAAUGGAUAGAGUCCAAAAGCUAUUUUCCUCCAUUGUUUUAAUUAGAGACUUCUUUGUUUAGAUCAAUGACCAUACCAAUAAAAGAGUUUUAGACGUAAUCUUAGUAUAUCUCAAUCAUGUCAAACUUUCAAAACUUUUUUACAAUUUUUGAAACAAUAUGGUAUGUGAGUUUCUAUUUUUAAAUAUUGAAUUCAUGCUGUAAUCUUUUUAAUAUCUCUAACCAUAUGCUAAACAUAGCUGUUCAAGUAAUCUUUUCCUCCAUGUAUUCUCUUACUACUUCUGCUUCUCUUUCAGACAGAACAACAAAGAACGAGAAAACACCAACAUCAGUGACCUCAUUGCGUAGAAGACAAGCCAGACAAAACGAUAAAAUAGAAAGCGAAGAAGAGCCUUUACUCAAAGCUGCAUUCAUCUUUUCCUCUUUAUUUGUGCUUAGAUACUUAUAGAAUAUCUUUUUUUUGUCAAAACUUAUAGAAUAUCUAUGUAAUGGAAUUGCUGUAAAUUCCUAAUAAGAAUCGGAUCCAAAGAAUAUUAGGAUGUUCUGUCUACUCAAGCUGAAUAUUAACCUGUUAUGUGAUACUCCAAGGAAUAUGAUGUAAAGGUUUAGCAUGGUAAGUAUUUGGUUACCACUUUUGAAUAGGAAGGAAUCUUGAUAAAAGAUAACCCAUCCAGGUUUAAAAAAGAAAAUGCAAUAAGAUACUUUUGUUCUAUAAUAGCCUCAUAUUUGAACCACCUACUCAUUUAUAAAUACAGAAACUCUUCAUCAUGUGGCUAAAAGUAUUUACUAGACUUAUCAUUGUGAUGAUCACCAAACAAGAACAAGAAAAAACUGUAAAAAAAAAAACAAUAGAAUUGAAAUAUAAAUAUAUACCGUUACACAUUAAAUACAAAAACUCCUAAGCAUUGGACUAAUCAUUGUGAUAAUCAUAAAACAAGAACAAGAAAAAAGCAGUAAGAAACAAAAAUAAUAAUAAUGGAGACGUGUUGAAAUCUGUACCGUUACUUUGCUUUAAAUUUUUAAUUUUAAAUGAAUAAAGCAGGUGUGAACCUUACAGAGUGCUCUGUGUUUGACUCUGAGACCGCGAUGACCACCUCUCUGCUCUAAUGUCUUUACUGUAAUUACUAAUUAUAUAAAAUUUGUUUACACAACUUUAGCUUUUGUCUGUUUGAAGAUUAUGAUCUUUUUGUGUAUUUUAAAAUGUGUGUAAUGGGUGUGGUGGUGGAGGGAAUUUUUAAGUAAAAAGAAAAGUCCAACUCUACCCCACCCACAAAGUGGAGAAAGCAAAAGUCAUAACCUUUGACACCUUUCUCAACCCAUCUCUAUCUAUCUCACAAACCAACAAACAACACAGGAACAAUAUCUCUCUUUUAUUUUAAUGUCCUAAUCUCCCCUGGGUGAUUUCUUCUUAGCUCAUUAUCUAAUUUUGAUCUUCAGGGUUUCUUGUCAUGCAAUUCUUUGUGUAGUUUUCCUUCUUAUGAGCUAACCUUGUAUAGACAAAAGAUCUCACCUUUUUGCUCUUGAAUUGAGAGAGUUUCUAUAUUUACUCAGUGCUCUUCCUGUGAAGUGAUUUGGAAAGAUUCAGCCAGUUGAGGAAGGAACUUAUGGUGAUUGGGGUUUCUCAUAGAGUGUUGAGGUGUUGAAGUUCUUGAUUUGGUCUAAUUAGCUUUAAAUGUUACAUUCUUUUUCAUGACUGAUCGGUUUAUUAGAUUCAUUAGGAUUUUGAGUUUUGAUAUUUUAUUCUCUUGGCUCUCUAGUUAGAUUUUUAGUGUUGUGAACUGAGGAAUCAGGGUUUUAUUGUUCUAUCAUCUUAAGCUUGGGUGGAAUAAUAUAAAAUAAAAAUGGAGGAAGUUGAAGCUGCUAGCAAGUUAGCUAUAGAAAGCUGUCAUGGAGUCUUAACCCUCUUGUCACAACAGCAAACCAGUUGUGAUUCCAAAUCUCUAAUGGUUGAAACAAGAGAAGUAGUUUCCAAGCUCAAGAGAGUAGCCUCUCUUUUAACCAAAGGGUCAGGUCAUGGAAAGUUUAGAAGAACCAACAACAACAAGUUUAGUCCAUCUUUUCCUCAGCAUAUCUUCUUGGAGAGCCCUAUUUGCUGUGGCAAUGAUGAGAGUAGUGAUUACACUCAAGUUCUUGCACCUGAGCCUCUUCAGAUGGUUCCAGCUUCUGAUGAGAUUGACCCAAGAUACCAAUUGGGUCACCCACUUAGCCACAGAUGGCCACCGCCUUUUCGAGCUCCUUAUCAGAAAAUAGCUUACUCUAGAAGCAACAGCGGUGGUGUAAACCUAACGUUUGAUGGGUCUGCUAGUAGUUGCUAUACCCCGAGUGUAUCAAACGGAUCAAGAUCUUUUGUAUCAUCUCUUAGUAUGGAUACUAGUGUCGAUAGGAGCUCGUUCCAGUUAACCGGAUUAUCACGUGGGAAGAUGUGCUCUGGUAGUUUGAAAUGCGGAAGUAGAAGCAAAUGUCACUGUUCCAAGAAGAGGUUCGUCAAUGUUCUUUGUGACAAUGUGAUAUCAGUUAACUGUUUUGUAACGGUUUUGAGUUUAUUUACAGGAAACUAAGAGUGAAAAGAUCAAUCAAGGUGCCUGCAAUAAGCAACAAGAUUGCGGAUAUUCCUCCAGACGAGUAUUCAUGGAGGAAGUAUGGUCAGAAACCUAUCAAAGGCUCACCGCAUCCACGGUAUUUAUAUAUAUUCAUCUUUUUUUUUGGUGUCUAUAUACUCAUUUGAUUCAUGUGCAGGGGAUACUACAAGUGCAGCAGUGUGAGAGGUUGUCCUGCAAGGAAGCAUGUGGAGCGAUGUGUAGAUGAGACUUCGAUGUUAAUUGUGACUUACGAAGGUGAGCAUAACCAUUCAAGGAUAUUGUCUUCGCAAUCAGCUCACACAUGAUGGAAUCAGAGUCAGUCACUGCCUGUCCUUUUUGCUGUCUACUCUUGGAUUUGAAGAAGAAUGAUUUUGGAUUCAAGAAACUGGUCUUAGUAGUGUUGUUAGCUGUGGUUUGCAAUUGUAUAUUCCACUUUGACAUGAGUUGUAAGAGCUUUUUGUGAACUUGGAUUAUGUGGCAAUACCGACAAGCAUCAACAAUUUGGCUUCAGCUUAGCAUUUUCUUACUUAACCAAAUAAGCUUAAUUUUUAGUAUAGGUAGGAGGUGGUUGUUGGAGAUAAUCACAAAGUUAACUUGGCGAACAAGUUACACUAAUCCUAAUCGAGAUAUGUUUAGGAUAGUUAGUUUUUAUGAGUUUAGGAAAUUUAAAGUCUCUAUACAAGAAGAUGCAAGAGUUUUAGAGAUUGUGUUUUGGAGUGAUUAAGUUUUGAGUUAUUUUCUUAAGCUAAUAAAAAGAGUUCUUUAUUGUGAUCAUAUACAAUUUUUGAGACUAUAUUUGGUAUCAGAGUGCAAGAUAAGUUAAAAGCCUUACGAUGGGAGGAUCUUUGUGUCCGCAUAAUGUUCGCUGUUAGGAGGAGACGAGUGUGUGCAAGUUUGGGACCUUGAGUAGUAGCUUGGUAAACAACACACAUGAUAGCUUGCUCCUGUUUAAUCUCAAAAGCUGUCAAGUACAAAGAAGGGCUCUUCAUCAGAUUACUUCUUCUUUAACGUUUUGUGUCUGUGGUUAGAGAGAUUACAUGUAUUGUUCACAUAAUAGCCUAAAUUAUGUAAGAGUUGAAGCUGGACACUUCAUCUGUAACAAACGACAAGUUUUUUUCUCAUUUAAAAAAAAAGUUGUUACGACUUGAGGAAUUAACAAUGAACAGCCAAAGACAUGUCCCAAAAUAUCCAAGUUCCAUGUUCUGCAACAAGAAGGCCAUUCAUUUUAAGACAAACCAUUACAUACUACAAGAACACUUGGACUCACAAAAUGAAGACCAAACUUUGCUUUGUCAUUCCGUUUCUAACUCUCAUUGCGUUUCCUCUGGUGUGAUCACGAGCUUAUAUGAUUUUUUUUUUUUUUUCACUCCGUCUUCAGAGGUUGGAGAGAUUAAGAAGACCGAGUGAUUAAAGAAGGCCCACGGUUUAGGUUGUGAAUUUUGGAUGGAGGGCGGCUAAGAUAAGAUAACUUAAUUUAAAGAAACUAUCUCUAAGAAACUCGUUAAACUACGAUUAUACCCUUUUCAUUACAACCUGUAUAAAUUAAGAAGAAACACGGAACUGACAGAAAAGCAAAGAGACAGCAAUUAUGGGUUGUCGGAAAGCAUUUUUGCUUCUAUACUUUCUAUUUUUAGUCCAUAUCCACCACAACCACUCUUUUCACGCGAUCUCCGCUGCUCCAAACCAUGAAUCGAAGCCGGACGGUGAAGCUUUCAUUGGCAAAACCGCGGAAUUAUCUAUCGUUGUUAAAAAGGGUGGUGGAGGCGGCAGAGGCGGCGGAGGUGGUGGUGGACGUAGUUUUGGUGGAGGCGGACGCAGUUUCGGUGGAGGUGGAGGUGGAGGCCGCAAAGGUGGAAGAGGAGUGGUUCCGUUAGUUGGAGGUGGUGCUGCUGCUUCCCACCACCGUGGCAACCAUUCAAGCGGUGGUCGGGAAAGUGCUAGCGUUUGGUUUGGUUUAUUGACUUUACUCGGUUUGGUUUUGGGUUUUUAGGGUUUACUUAUUUUGAUUGCCGGUUUAGGUUAAAUGUUUGAUGUCGGUUUUGCUUGCUACUGGUUUGCUCUCUGGAUAUAAACACCACUCGGUUUGGUUUUGGUUUUUAGGAUUUUUUUUUUUAAUUUUGAUUGCCGGUUUAGGGUUAAAUGUUUGGUGCCGGUUUUGCUUUCCACUGUGGUUUGCUCUUUGGAUAAAAUUUCUCUUAACCGGAACUUAAUCCAUCAAUAAUCGAUUGUAAAAUAUUUUGUUUGAUUACACAUCCAAAAAAGCUCAAAAUGAUACAAAUUUUCAACAUUAGGAGUUUUCUUCAACAAUCAACAUCAAAGUUUCACGUUACAAAUAAAAAACCGAGAAAGACGGUUACAUUGUGAACCAACCAACAUAUACCGGAUAUAACCGAAAAAAACAAAGAGUCUUUGUUUUGAAUUUUAAAUUUUCUCCAGUGAGAUAUCAAAGUUAAACACAGACCAACAACAACACAAAGGCAUCAAUCAUCGUCAUUUCAAGCCUCGCAAGCUUCUUCCACGGACUCGUUGAGUGGUUUAAGCCCACUUUUACCCUUGCCUGAUCUGGAACGAGGGCUGUCGUGCACAUCAUUGGUGUUCUUGUUCUGAACUGUUCCCGUGCUGUGUCGGUUCCGGUUAGAUGCUGUCUUCGGAACCUCUUCACGGGACGAGGACGAGCUGACUGCGUCGCUGCAGCUCUUUCUCCGAGAAAGGAUGAGUUUUGGCGACUUGGGACGAGUCAAAGGCACCUAGAAAGAUACAUAACAUUAAGCUACAUUCGUCACAAGAACAAAGAUACAUAACAUAAGCUACUUUUGUCACAAGAACAAUGCUGAGCUCCAAACAUGACGAGUUAAAUAUACCUUCUUGAGUUCAGGUUUGGCAGGAGGCGCCUCGUAGUAGAAGUUGGGGACUGGUUUAGCCUUGAACUUGAGAUUUUUUCUAAGUUUUUUCAAGGCUGCUUCUUGUUCUUCCUGCAAAAAACAUUGAAUUUACCAUUUAGAUUUAGAAAAGACUGCAUCAACUAUAUGGAUUUUUACCUUUUGCCUUUGUUCAAGCUCGUUCCUUUCAGCUUCAAGCGCUUGGUUUUUCUCCUCAAGCUUUUGGUAAUACUAAACCACACAAGAAAAGAUCAAUUAAUAAACAUUAAAAAGUAGACUUUAUAUCAGUGAGUGCAAAGGUGGAAGAUUUAUAGUUACCUCUUUGCGCUGCUCAGCACGCUGAGCACUCCUAAACGUUGGAGCGCUUCCAUGAGUCACUCCGGACUUAGCCCUCCUCAAGGAAGUUGCCACGCUGUUAGUUAAUAUCGUUAAGGAACAUUAUCGAUUUUGUCAAGUAUACAUACAAAGACAAGAUAAUGAUUAAGUGAUAGAGUCAAGUAAAGGAUACGAAGAAGCAAUGGAGACAUUAUCAUCUUCAUCUACAUGCUUCUUGUUCUCUGGUUGCAAGGGCUUCCUCACGGGGAGAAGAGGAGCAUCACGCUGCAGAUAGAACAUUGAACAAACAGGUAAAGUCACAUCAUUUACACAUCUCAAACUACUUACAAAACAUAACGUUUGUCUUAAUUCUGAAAUGAGUUUUUACCUUUGAAACUUUAGGAGUUUUAGGCGAGCUUUGAGCUCCAGUUCUCUCGGCAGUUUCCACUUUUGGUUUAUUCUCUUCGGUGCAUUCCUUGACUUCGAUCUCUUCCUCAGUCUCAGACUCCGCAGCUGCAGCUAUCUUAGGAGCAACGUGAACCCUACCGCUUGAAACGCCGGCGUUUCGGUCCAUAAGCACCUCAACAACAACCUCUCUUCCCAUUCCACUACGGAACACAAAACCAAAGAGUCUCUCUUUUAGACAGAUUCUCAAAAACACAAUUCAAUUAUGAAAGAUCUCAAUCUUUAUAAAGGUUACAGCUUUGUCAAAGUUAGAUUGGUAAGGAACAAGGAUUGGUUCAAAGAGAUAGAGAGAGGGUCGCAGAAGAACAAUUCAAAAGUGGAAACCAACACGCAUUAACAAACCCAGAUGGAGAAAUAGUCAAAAAGAAAUAUUUUUAAAAUGUGAAUUUGAAAUCCAGGCGAUAGAGGAGGAGAUUCUUAAGGUUUUGUGAACAAUUUUAUAGAAAAGAAUCAGACUUUCAAGGAAGAACAGGGUGACAAAAAAAAUUGUGUUCUUACGAGUCUUGUAUAGGACCGGGGAGGGAUUCUUGUGCACCACCUCUGUCUCCGAACGCCCGUGAGAAUUUUGCAGACAAAAUUUGAAAUGAAUGUCUUUAUCCAGACCAAACUUGUCUCCCUCUCUUUCUCUCUCAAGAAAAAGAAGAAUUUUUAUUGGGUGGUGACUAUUUUGGAGAUGUGUUUGAUUUGUUAAGCUGUUUGGUUAUUUAUUGGUUCGAAAUUCAUUUAUUUUUAUUAUAAAAAAAUGAAUUUUGGCGCUUUACAUCACUUUGAUAAUUAGUUUCUAUAUACUCCAUAAGAUUCAUUCAUUUUCAUGCCAAUAUUUGAAGAAAUAUAUAUUCACCCUAAAUAUUGAAAAGCUCUUAGUUUAUUGAAAUAAAUAAAUAAAACCUACCUCUGUUGAUUAGUUUCAUUUUUUUUAAAUGUAUAGUUAGUAGUAGUAUACACAUUCUCUAUACUUAUCUUGAUAUAAAAGUUUAAUUACUAUAUUAUUUCUUUAAUUUCUUAAGUUUAAUUUUCUUUUAAGGAUAUCUAAUAAAGUUGUGACUUGACAAAAAUAAAAAUUGAUGACUAAUUGUCUAGAAGUAUAUUUACUAAAUCUAAAUAAUUAUCCUAAUCUAGAUGUACUAGCUUGAAUCCAGAUGUGUAGUCUUCUUAGUAAUCAGAUCCACUAUAAGCAACUUCUAACAACCAAAUGAAAAGGAAAUUCAAACUAAUCAUACAAUAACUAUCACGGCUUUGAAGCCACAAGACGGAAUAAAUACCAAUGUGACAAUGUUACUCGUUUAAAAAAAAUGUUUCCUGUCCUUCAGUUCAAACUUCAAGAGUAGUCCAUACUUUCCCUCGUUGCUUAGUUUAAAUUCUGCAGCUUUGUUAAAGUGCUGAGGUUGAAUACAGUAUGGCGUCUACCAUUGUACCUCGUAGACCAUACAAUUUGUUCUUAGACUUUUAGUAUACACAUGUAUGCGUAUACAUGUUCUUAUGAUCUAAUCAUUUCAAUUGUUUAUAACUCAUUUGGAAGCUAACAAUAUAUUAUAUAUGUAUAACAAUUCUGUAUAUUUGUUUCCUGGUUGUCAAUUCCAUAUCUUUGUAAUCUCUUUUCUAAAGCAAAUUACUUGAUACCACGCAUAUGAAGAGUGACCAACGAAACUGAAGUUUGUAACAGUAGUUUGUGAGAGUAGUAAUCUCUCUUCAAAAGCAAAUUACGUUCUUAAUGUAUUUUGCAGUGUUUGCCUUUUGUGAAAAAUAUGUUCUGUAAAAAAUAUGUUUUAUAAUCUAUUUCAAAGUUCAAACAAUGGACUUUUGAUUUCCGACAAAGUAGCUUUGAUGUAUCCGACAGAGACUAAAGUUAAUUUGAAUUAAUACUUAUUAUGUUGCUUCAAAUGCCAAAAAAAAAAAAAAACUUAUCUUUACUUUAUACUAAAUAACGAACAAAAAGAGUAGAGAAAAAUUUAGAAAAUGAUGCAAAUCUCAUUUUAAAAUCAUGUCAUAUCAAAUAAUAUGAAACAAACAAAAAACCACUAAAAUAUUUUGAAAACGGAUUAACAGUUGACUAACUUCAUUUAGUUUUUUUUUGUAACAAAUAAAAUUGUAAGAAGGAUGAGAAGAUGCGAAAAUUAAGUAAACAUCAAAGACCACUUUGUGCUAGGGAAGAAUCACUAAAGUGGGUAAGUAAGGAUGAGAAGAUGCGUCAAUGCGAUCAGAGGCAUUCACUAUCCACAUUAUCCAUAGUUCAUGCAUUUAACACAUAUAGAAGACUCACGGGUGAACCUGUAGUGUUAUUGGAGAGUGAAACAUCGAACAUGAUGAUUUCUCACUGGGUCCAGCACACACGAGGGUGCAUCUCUAUCUUUAUCUAGGGUUGGUGUUUUUCAGCCAACGUGGACCCGUUUAUUUCCUCGACCUCACCUUCACAGGAAUUUAUAUGAGGGAGGGAUAUCUCAGUAACGUUUUUCUUACGUAUUUGAUCAUUUAUUAGUAGAGUGUAAUCUAAAUUGAGUAAAAUAAGAGCUAAUUAAAAAUACUAUUACAUGCAUAUAGCGAGACAGUAUCCGUAUUCAAAUCAUUCUACAUGCUUUUUUGGCGACUUUUUGGUGAAAAUGUUAGUAACAAAUAAAUGUAAAAGUUAAAUUUAUUGCUAAACAAGCUUAAAAACCAUAAUAUUUUUGUACGAUAUAAAUUAGAGAAAAUUAUUGAUUUGGAUAAGAGAAGGAAUGGGUAUAUAUAGAUUGAAGAAGAAGAGAAAAAAAAAACGAUUUUUGAUGGAACUUAAACAAAUGAAACAAUCUAUUUUUGCGUUUGUUCCAUUUAUAUCAAUUAAAGUAAAAUUUAUUAUUUAUGUUUACUAUACAAAACUAUCAUUUAAUAGUAUUUAAUCAAUUUAGUUAUUUCAAUUAAGUUUUUAAAUUAUACAAAACUGUCUUAAAAAUAUUAAAAAUAUAUUUUUGUAGAACAAAUUUUUUUUAGAAAAUCUUACAUUUAAGAAUGGAGACAGAUCUAUUUUCACCACCAUUUUUCAAAAAAAAAAGUUUUAUUUUUAUUUUUAAACUAGUGUUUAAUUAUAUAUUUUUAGAAUCUGAGACUAGUGUUCUAAAAAUCGGUAUGGAUGGCGCAUAGGCAUCCCCUUAGUCAGCAAAUCAAACUUAAAUGUAAUGAUUUCUUAAAUGAUUUUUUUUUUAAAAUCAGUGUAAGUAUCCAUCUAAUCAGUAAUCUCAUACAAAAUAUUUAACUACCGCCUAACAAUUUCUUGAACAUUGGCCGAGAACAAUAACCCGAGCCACACAUUGUUAUAGAUUGUUUAUUAAGAAAAACUGAAAUCGAAAAUCCAUAUAGUUUAUGCAGACUAUAUGGCAAUGAAGAUCAACAUUUAUCAUUAGUUAAUUCAUUUUCAUCAAAGGUAGAACAAACAGAAAAAAUUUCAUCGAUUAUAAAAUUAAUUUUAUUGAUUGAUGCAGUUACAUGAAUUUAUUGAUGUAUUUUUUUUUUUUAGAUUUAGACAUGCAAUCGUCUAAUACAACUAGAUAUUGAUUGUUGGAGGACCUGGCGGAACAUGUCUACAUCUUCCCUCUGGGGGACAUCCCGGUUUGUACGGAUUUACUGGUUCCGGGGGUGGACACGUGCCAGGACUACAGCCAGGGGGACGAUCGCCACCACGUAUUGGUGGAUAUCCAAUAAAUUUUCCAGCUGCUGGGUUGCUGAUCAUAAACACACAUGCUGCUAUGAGUAUUGCAACGACCAUAACCCUAUUUGUUCCUUUUAGAUUGCUCAUGAUUUGUGUCAAAAUUAAAUGUUUACAGAAUAGCUUAUUAAGUGUUGUGCUAGUUGGUAUGAAGAGGGUUUUUAUAGUGUGUA
Molecule: long non-coding RNA, 21571 nt
Filed under: Brassica napus (rape)
Lineage: Eukaryota; Viridiplantae; Streptophyta; Magnoliopsida; Brassicales; Brassicaceae
Description: long non-coding RNA (BNAP_LNC004720)
Source: RNAcentral